Molecule: ribosomal RNA, 300 nt
Filed under: uncultured Lactobacillus sp.
Lineage: Bacteria; Bacillati; Bacillota; Bacilli; Lactobacillales; Lactobacillaceae
Description: bacterial SSU rRNA
Rfam family: Bacterial small subunit ribosomal RNA
Source: RNAcentral
GUCAAUUCCGGGCCGUGCUCGGGGGGUAGACGGGUGGGGCAAGUGUUAUCCGGAUGUAUUGGGUGUAAAGGGUCCGUAGGCGUACUUAUAAGUCAGUUGUGAAAGCCUGUCUCUUAACGAUAGAACUGCCAUUGAUACUGUAAGUCUGGAGUAUAAUUGAGGUAGCUGGAAUAAGUAGUGUAGCGGUGAAAUGCAUAGAUAUUACUUAGAACACCAAUUGCGAAGGCAGGUUACCAAGUUAUAACUGACGCUGAGGGACGAAAGCGUGGGGAGCGAACAGGAUUAGAUACCCUAGUAGUC